This is a long non-coding RNA of Pogonomyrmex barbatus (red harvester ant), 934 nucleotides long. The record is from RefSeq and is a predicted model, not a curated record. Lineage: Eukaryota; Metazoa; Arthropoda; Insecta; Hymenoptera; Formicidae.
AUAUUAUCCAAAAGACAAAACAUUGUGGAUGCAGACUUCGAAAGAUAUGUACUAUGUACAGAGAAAAUGCCAUUAGUGAACGCACAAGUCGAAAGUGAUAUGCGCGUUUCCAAUCUGGAAAUUUGAAUGUGACUGAUGCUAUUCACUCUAGACAGCCAUCCGCGGAUAUAUGUCGAUGAUCAAUUCUUAGCCAUGGUGUCGAAUGACCGACAUUUCACGACGCGAGAGAUCGCAGAACAUUUAAAUAUUCCACCAUUCAACUGUCGCCGACCACUUGAAACGCUUGGGGAUGGUGAACAAGACCCAUGUUUGAGUGCCAUAUAUAUUGACUGAGCGGAAUCUCAUCAACCGAAUUUCCACAUGUGAUUUGUUACUAAAGCGUUACCAAUCCGACAAUUUCCUGAAGCGCAUGAUUACUGGGAAUGAGAAAUGGAUUUUUUACAAAUGUCUUGCGAAAACGGUCAUAACAAAAGCGACGAGCUGGCCCAAACUGUGCUGUGGCCAAAGCUGGUUUGCACCCGAAAAGGUGCUAUUAUCGAUUUGGUAGGAUUAUCUUGGAGUAAUUUAUUACGAGCUCCCGCAAGAUCAGACCGUCAAUUCUGAUAAAUACUGUGCCCAAUUAGAAAAAUUGAAGCGCGCUAUUACAGAAAAACGGCCGGCAUUGCUGAACAGAAAAGGUUGGGAUGUUUUGCCACAUCCACUAUAUUCUCCCGAUAUUGCUCGGAUACACAUUUGUUUCGCAUUCUACAGAAUAAUCUUCAAAGAAAAUCACUUCUGUGGAGGACAUCAAAAAGCAUCUGGACAACUUUUUUGCUCAGAAGUCCCAGAAGUUUUACGAGAAGGGAAUUAUCGGAAUUGCCGGCACGAUGGCAGCAAAUCAUCGAUCAAAAUGGAGAAUAUAUCAUGGAUUAAAUAAACGUUUCAAUGUUUCAAU